This 325-nucleotide ribosomal RNA is filed under the name uncultured eukaryote. RNAcentral's name for it is "partial 18S ribosomal RNA". It matches the Rfam family "Eukaryotic small subunit ribosomal RNA", at positions 1470 to 1796 of the family's 1831-position model. The record is from RNAcentral.
CCCUUAGAUGUUCUGGGCCGCACUCGCGCUACACUGAUGCAUUCAACGAGCCUAUCCUUGACCGACAGGUCCGGGUAAUCUUUGAAUCUGCAUCGUGACGGGGAUAGAUUAUUGCAAUUAUUAAUCUUCAACGAGGAAUGCCUAGUAGGCGCAAGUCAUCAGCUUGCGUCGAUUACGUCCCUGCCCUUUGUACACACCGCCCGUCGCUCCUACCGAUUGGGUGUGCUGGUGAAAUGUUCGGAUCGGCCGUUUGUCGCGGUUUCCGCGGCUCGUGGCUGAGAAGUUCAUUAAACCCUCCCACCUAGAGGAAGGAGAAGUCGUAACA